Molecule: ribosomal RNA, 380 nt
Filed under: uncultured eukaryote
Lineage: Eukaryota
Description: SSU rRNA
Rfam family: Eukaryotic small subunit ribosomal RNA
Source: RNAcentral
AGCUCCAAUAGCGUAUAUUAAAUCUGUUGCGGUUGAAAAGCUCGUAUGGUCUUCUGCUGAGGACGACUGGUCUGCCCUCUGGGUGAGUAUCUUGUUUGGCCGAAGCAUCUUGCUGGAGGUUGCAAGCGCACCUCAUUGUGUGGUGCAACCGACUGGGAUUUUACUUUGUGGUAGUUAGAGUGUUCAAGGGAGGCGCACGCCUCGCAUCGGUUAGCAUGGAAUAAUGCUGUCAGACCACGGUAUUGCUGUGCUGGUUUCUAUCACAUGAGGUAAUGGUAAACAGGGAUAGUUGGGGGCAUUCGUGUUUAACUGUCAGAGGUGAAAUUCUUGGAUUUGUUAAACACGAACGACUGCGAUAUCAUUUGCCAAGGAUGUUUUCA